UGCGGAUUGAUGUAAUUUUAGAAACAUACCUGGCUCAUGACCAGGAAAUGGAGGUGCAAGUCCUUUGUCCGCAU
This 74-nucleotide transfer RNA is filed under the name Alternaria alternata. Its description in RNAcentral is "tRNA-Met". It matches the Rfam family "tRNA". From Rfam's summary of the family: Transfer RNA (tRNA) molecules are approximately 80 nucleotides in length. Their secondary structure includes four short double-helical elements and three loops (D, anti-codon, and T loops). The record is from RNAcentral. RNAcentral also lists the same sequence under 4 other names. Lineage: Eukaryota; Fungi; Ascomycota; Dothideomycetes; Pleosporales; Pleosporaceae.